UGGGGAAUUUUCCGCAAUGGGGGCAACCCUGACGGAGCAACGCCGCGUGCGGGAUGAAGGCCUUCGGGUUGUAAACCGCUGUCAGUUGGGAGGAAGGCCCCGUGAAGAGCGGGGUUUGACCCAUCUUCAGAGGAAGUCCGGGCUAAGUUCGUGCCAGCAGCCGCGGUAACACGAACCGGACGAACGUUAUUCGGAAUUAUUGGGCUUAAAGGGUGCGUAGGCGGCGCGUUAAGUCGGGUGUGAAAUCCCUCAGCUCAACUGAGGAACUGCGCCCGAUACUGGCGUGCUCGAGGGAGACAGGGGUGAGCGGAACUGAUGGUGGAGCGGUGAAAUGCGUUGAUAUCAUCAGGAACACCGGUGGCGAAAGCGGCUCACUGGGUCUCUUCUGACGCUGAGGCACGAAAGCUAGGGUAGCGAACGGGAUUAGAUACCCCCGUAGUCC
RNAcentral lists this ribosomal RNA (442 nucleotides) under uncultured prokaryote. RNAcentral describes it as "bacterial SSU rRNA". It matches the Rfam family "Bacterial small subunit ribosomal RNA", at positions 355 to 796 of the family's 1533-position model. The record is from RNAcentral.